Ruditapes philippinarum (Manila clam) is the source of this 738-nucleotide long non-coding RNA. RefSeq lists it as uncharacterized. NCBI's taxonomy places the organism in Eukaryota, Metazoa, Mollusca, Bivalvia, Venerida, Veneridae. The transcript is spliced from 3 exons. The record is from RefSeq and is a predicted model, not a curated record.
UGGUCAAUAUAUUGUCAGUUGGGUUUACAUUUACGCAAUUUAACAAGUAAUGGUGCUUUGAUAAUUAAAACAUUAAAAAGUGGAACAUGAUAUGAACAGUAGCGUUCAUCGAAUGUUCUAAUUGAGAACGUUUCUAAAAAUAGAUUUGUGACAAUAUCUGACGUCAUUCAAGUACUACAACAACAACAACAACAACAAGUAAGCGUUGGAGAAACGCAAGCUGAACAAUGACUAAAAUUGAAGAAAAAUACGGAUAGCGAGUAAGUACUGUUGUUCCAAGCAGUGAUUAAAGAUUUGAACUAUACUGUAGAUCUACAGAAACUGGAGCAGAAAUAAGGGGAUGAUGUAAUUUCCAGACUUCCAAACAGAUCUUUGAGGAUAAUGAAGAAUAUGAUUGUCCUGCUAAAUUGGAGACAAAUGAAAACACCUCGCACAAACUGAUGACAUACACUACAGAGGAAAGCAACUGUCCUUUGGUGUUUCGACAUAGAAUAUUGAUUAUUGUUUAUGUACUCUCGCAGCAGUUUGUAUUUGCGAAGAAAUUUAGGAAAUUAUCCUUAAUUCAUGUGUUAUGUUAAGAAGACUGCAUUCAUGCACACAAGAAUAUAAAAAAUAGAAAUACAACAUGUUAUAACAACAAGUGAAACAAUGCUAGGAUAUUGAAAGACAGGUUAUGUUGCUGUGUGAUUAUUACUCAAACUUUUGUGGUCUGAUAUGAAACGCAAGAUUCAUGUUAAC